ACGAACGCUGGCGGCGUGCUUAACCCAUGCAAGUCGCACGGAAAGGCCCUGCUUUUGUGGGGUGCUCGAGUGGCGAACGGGUGAGUAACACGUGAGUAACCUGCCCUUUACUUUGGGAUAACUUCAGGAAACUGGGGCUAAUACCGGAUAGGAGCUCCUGCUGCCUGGUGGGGGUUGGAAAGUUUCGGCGGUUGGGGAUGGACUCGCGGCUUAUCAGCUUGUUGGUGGGGUAGUGGCUUACCAAGGCUUUGCCGGGUAGCCGGCCUGAGAGGGUGACCGGCCACAUUGGGACUGAGAGACGGCCCAGACUCCUACGGGAGGCAGCAGUGGGGAAUAUUGCACAAUGGGCGGAAGCCUGAUGCAGCAACGCCGCGUGCGGGAUGACGGCCUUCGGGUUGUAAACCGCUUUCGCCUGUGACGAAGCGUGAGUGACGGUAAUGGGUAAAGAAGCACCGGCUAACUACGUG
RNAcentral lists this ribosomal RNA (467 nucleotides) under uncultured bacterium. Its description in RNAcentral is "partial 16S ribosomal RNA". It matches the Rfam family "Bacterial small subunit ribosomal RNA", at positions 29 to 507 of the family's 1533-position model. The record is from RNAcentral.